This is a long non-coding RNA of Chenopodium quinoa (quinoa), 1148 nucleotides long. RefSeq lists it as uncharacterized. Lineage: Eukaryota; Viridiplantae; Streptophyta; Magnoliopsida; Caryophyllales; Amaranthaceae. The record is from RefSeq and is a predicted model, not a curated record. The transcript is spliced from 2 exons.
AAUUGUUAUGUUAAGUUUAUAAAUUUUAUUGUAUAUUUAUAAAUUUCUUUUAAUUUUCGUUGGUUAAUUAUCGUUUUUUUAAAAAACAUUUAAUGAAAUUCUGAUUAAGAUGUAGAUCUACUGGUUUUGAUUGUUUUGUGUGGUAUUUUUUUUAUUAUGUUUUGUUAAUUUUUGUAUUUUUGGGGUUUAUUUCCGAUUUUUUGGGCUUUUCGUUUUUUGGGUUAAUUUUCCUUUUUUUUGGGUUAAUUUCGGUUUGUAGGGUUUAUUUUUGGAAUGGUGGUGGUGUGUAGUGGUGUCGGUGGUGGUGGGGUGGGGGUUGGUGUGAGUUUGGUGCUGGGUAUGUUAAUGAUUGGGGUGGUUUCGGUUUGGUAUGGGUGGGGUUUUGGUUAGGUUGUUGGGUCUGUUAGUGGUGGGUGAAUUUCGAUGUUGGUGGUGUUUUGGUGAUAAGGGUUGGGAUUUGGUUUAGGUGGGGGUUUUGGUGGGUGGUAAGGUGGGGUCUGGUGGGUUAGGGUUAGGUGGGUUAAGGUGGUGGGGCUGGUGGGUUACGGUGGUGGGCUUGGUGGGUUAAGGUAGUGGGUUAGGGUGUUUUUUUUUUCAGCGGUUUCCAACGGAUUGAGUCCGCCGGAAAUUUCCGACGGACUUUUUCGGUGCCGGAAAACCUCUUCCGACGACUGAAUUCCGUUGGAAAAGUGUUUCCGACGGAAAAGAUCAUUUUUCCUACAAAACGUUUUCCGACAACCAGUUCCGACGGAAAUUCCGUCAGAAACACCUUUUCCGACGGAAAAUAGGGUGUUUUCGACGGAUUUUUCCGUCGAAAAUGAACUGUUUUCUAGUAGUGACUGGAUAAGGAAAGGCAUGCAGACUAUUUGAGCAUGUUGAAGGGCUUUGAUGUAAAUCAGGCUGGGUUUGCAUAAAAGAUGGCUAGUGUAUGGGAGAAGGUUGCGGAUGAAACUAAAAGCUAUGGAAAUGGUGUUAGUUGACUUGUAAAUGUUGUAAAAGUUUUGCUUUGUUGUUUUGUAGUCUAAUUAAUGUACAAUUGGGAAUAAUAUGUUCCAUUCAGAUCUUUGUUGUUGAAGGUUUGUGCAUAGCUAACACCAUUUGGAAAGAGGUCUUUGAUAUCUAAUUCAUAAAAUUCAGCUUACAUCGAA